This 395-nucleotide ribosomal RNA is filed under the name uncultured bacterium. RNAcentral describes it as "partial 16S ribosomal RNA". It matches the Rfam family "Bacterial small subunit ribosomal RNA", at positions 523 to 918 of the family's 1533-position model. The record is from RNAcentral.
AUACGUAGGGUGCAAGCGUUAAUCGGAAUUACUGGGCGUAAAGCGUGCGCAGGCGGUUUUGUAAGACAGAGGGGAAAUCCCCGGGCUCAACCUGGGAACUGCCUUUGUGAAUGCCAGGCUAGAGUACGGCAGAGGGGGAUGGAAUUUCGCGUGCAGCAGGGAAAUGCGUAGAUAUGCGGAGGAACACCGAUGGCGAAGGCAAUCCCCUGGGCCUGUACUGACGCUCAUGCACGAAAGCGUGGGGAGCAAACAGGAUUAGAUACCCUGGUAGUCCACGCCCUAAACGAUGUCAACUGGUUGUUGGGUCUUCAUUGACUCAGUAACGAAGCUAACGCGUGAAGUUGACCGCCUGGGGAGUACGGCCGCAAGGUUGAAACUCAAAUGAAUUGACGGGG